Non-coding RNA from Pelodiscus sinensis (Chinese soft-shelled turtle), 1398 nucleotides. The record is from RefSeq and is a predicted model, not a curated record. NCBI's taxonomy places the organism in Eukaryota, Metazoa, Chordata, Testudines, Trionychidae.
GGCUAGUGGUGACAGGUGUUUGCUAGACAACAGCAGAAUACUGGGAAUCAGAACUCCUGAAUUCUAUACUCCUGCAUUCUAGGAAAGCAGUGGGAUCUAAAUGGUUAGGGUGGGGAGGGGGCUAAGGAAUUGGGGUGCAAGGCUAUAGCUCUGGCUUUGGGAGGGAGUGGCCAUUCACUAGGUUUCAAAGAAAGAGCUUCUCUUUUUUUUCCAUUUUCCCCCUAUUCCACCAACCGAGUUUAUCUCUCCAAAGCUGUUUUCACUUUUAAAAUCAUCUUAUUACCAAUGAGACAGUUGAAAUAGCUUCUUACAGUAGGUGUCUCCAGUCAAUGACUGAUUUGCAUUAAGAAAGAUAUGACAGGCAAGUGUGAAGAGGCAAGAAUGAUCGUUUAAUUUUAGAAAAAUUCCACAUUCGUUUCAGAAAUGAUUAGAGUAGGCAAGCUCCAGCUCAGAAGCUCCAGGUGGCUCAGUCAUGAAAAUGGUGGGGUCCUGGCCUCUCUCUAACAAGCGAUACAGACUAGCAGGGAAAGCACGUUCCUUCGCUCAGAUGCAGCAAGGGAAGAAUGUCCCCACCGGCCUUCGAGCUGAGAAAAACAAAAUAUUUUCCGGGGUUUUUUACUGGACAAAGGUGGCAAAACCGGACUGGCCGGGUGAAAACUGGACACCUGGCAACCCUAUUCACACCCACACCCUAUCUCCAGCUCACUGAAGAAAGGGAGAGAGGCUUUUCCCUCCCUCCCUCCAACUCAGCCUCUCUUGCUGCAAAAUGUGGUGAACUGGCAAAGUGCAGAGAAAGGGUGAAUGCUGCUGCGGGCGACUGCAUGAAGGAAAAUACAUUGUACUGAGCUGAACCCACAAAUCCACCUCUGUUAUCCAGAUACACACCAGUGCUAGGAAGUAUUAGCCAAGGCCAUUAUUGACUCUGUCUUUGCAAGGAGUGGGGGAGGGUGGAAGCAGAGGAAAUAGCAUGUUUAUACUGUCAUAGAACCUGUAAAAACAAAGUGGUUUGUUUAGUAAGAAAAGCUUUGUCUUUGUUUAACCCUAAAAUCAGGUUCCUUAUCUGGUAUAUAUUUUAGAGAGUUUGUGUGCCUGUUUGUCAGCGUGGGAGUCCAUCCUUCUGAGAGACAUAAAAGCUAUUGAGUCAAAUUCAGCCUUGGUAUAAGCAGGUACAACUCCUUUGCCUUCAACAGAGUUGCACACACACAUGCUGUAGCCCAAUGACUUUAAGGGAAAGCCCCUCUCUUUGUUCAGGUGUUUUCCAAAAAGGCGGCAGCUUUUGACUCUGAUCUAACUAGCUGACAUUGUACAUGGUAUUGGGCAUUGUGCAUGUCUCCUUGAACAUGCCUGGGGCAUGUGUUUACAAAGUAAAUAGUAAAAUAAAGGUCCAAAAUAAAUAGA